ACUUUUUUCAUUUUUAGGUCUUAUGUUUAAUUCUUUGAUCUAUUUCAAGUUAAUUUUUGUAAGUAGUGUAAUAUAGAGGUCCAAUUUCAUUGUUCUGUCUAUGUUUGUCCAGUUUUCUCAGCACCAUUUUGUUGAAGAA
Molecule: non-coding RNA, 139 nt
Organism: Callorhinus ursinus (northern fur seal)
Lineage: Eukaryota; Metazoa; Chordata; Mammalia; Carnivora; Otariidae
Source: RefSeq, a predicted model, not a curated record